RNAcentral lists this non-coding RNA (27 nucleotides) under Cricetulus griseus (Chinese hamster). The record is from RNAcentral. Lineage: Eukaryota; Metazoa; Chordata; Mammalia; Rodentia; Cricetidae.
AAGCAGUAUGCACAGAGGGCAUUGAAG